UACGUAGGGGGCAAGCGUUGUCCGGAAUCAUUGGGCGUAAAGAGCGUGUAGGCGGUCCGGUAAGUCCGCUGUGAAAGUCAGGGGCUCAACCCUUGAAUGCCGGCGGAAACUGCCGGACUAGAGUCCGGAAGAGGCGAGUGGAAUUCCAGGUGUAGCGGUGAAAUGCGUAGAUAUCUGGAGGAACACCGGUGGCGAAGGCGGCAUCCUGGACCACGACUGACGCUGAGGAGCGAAAGCCAGGGGAGCAAACGGG
Molecule: ribosomal RNA, 253 nt
Filed under: uncultured bacterium
Lineage: Bacteria
Description: partial 16S ribosomal RNA
Rfam family: Bacterial small subunit ribosomal RNA
Source: RNAcentral